This 76-nucleotide transfer RNA is filed under the name Gammaproteobacteria bacterium. RNAcentral describes it as "tRNA-Asn". It matches the Rfam family "tRNA". From Rfam's summary of the family: Transfer RNA (tRNA) molecules are approximately 80 nucleotides in length. Their secondary structure includes four short double-helical elements and three loops (D, anti-codon, and T loops). Lineage: Bacteria; Pseudomonadati; Pseudomonadota; Gammaproteobacteria. The record is from RNAcentral.
UCCCCGGUAGCUCAGUCGGUAGAGCAUCUGACUGUUAAUCAGAGUGUCCGUGGUUCGAGUCCACGCCGGGGAGCCA